This 1269-nucleotide ribosomal RNA is filed under the name Psychrobacter cryohalolentis. Its description in RNAcentral is "bacterial SSU rRNA". It matches the Rfam family "Bacterial small subunit ribosomal RNA", at positions 87 to 1352 of the family's 1533-position model. The record is from RNAcentral. Lineage: Bacteria; Pseudomonadati; Pseudomonadota; Gammaproteobacteria; Moraxellales; Moraxellaceae.
GGCGUCGAGCGGCGGACGGGUGAGUAAUACUUAGGAAUCUACCUAGUAGUGGGGGAUAGCACGGGGAAACUCGUAUUAAUACCGCAUACGACCUACGGGAGAAAGGGGGCAGUUUACUGCUCUCGCUAUUAGAUGAGCCUAAGUCGGAUUAGCUAGAUGGUGGGGUAAAGGCCUACCAUGGCGACGAUCUGUAGCUGGUCUGAGAGGAUGAUCAGCCACACCGGGACUGAGACACGGCCCGGACUCCUACCGGGAGGCAGCCAGUGGGGAAUAUUGGACAAUGGGGGAAACCCUGAUCCAGCCAUGCCGCGUGUGUGAAGAAGGCCUUUUGGUUGUAAAGCACUUUAAGCAGUGAAGAAGACUCCUCGGUUAAUACCCGUGGACGAUGACAUUAGCUGCAGAAUAAGCACCGGCUAACUCUGUGCCAGCAGCCGCGGUAAUACAGAGGGUGCAAGCGUUAAUCGGAAUUACUGGGCGUAAAGGAGCGUAGGUGGCUCGAUAAGUCAGAUGUGAAAUCCCCGGGCUCAACCUGGGAACUGCAUCUGAUACUGUUGAGCUAGAGUAUGUGAGAGGAAGGUAGAAUUCCAGGUGUAGCGGUGAAAUGCGUAGAGAUCUGGAGGAAUACCGAUGGCGAAGGCAGCCUUCUGGCAUAAUACUGACACUGAGGCUCGAAAGCGUGGGUAGCAAACAGGAUUAGAUACCCUGGUAGUCCACGCCGUAAACGAUGUCUACUAGUCGUUGGGUCCCUUGAGGACUUAGUGACGCAGCUAACGCAAUAAGUAGACCGCCUGGGGGAGUACGGCCGCAAGGUUAAAACUCAAAUGAAUUGACGGGGGCCCGCACAAGCGGUGGAGCAUGUGGUUUAAUUCGAUGCAACGCGAAGAACCUUACCUGGUCUUGACAUAUCUAGAAUCCUGCAGAGAUGCGGGAGUGCCUUCGGGAAUUAGAAUACAGGUGCUGCAUGGCUGUCGUCAGCUCGUGUCGUGAGAUGUUGGGUUAAGUCCCGCAACGAGCGCAACCCUUGUCCUUAGUUACCAGCGGGUUAAGCCGGGAACUCUAAGGAUACUGCCAGUGACAAACUGGAGGAAGGCGGGGACGACGUCAAGUCAUCAUGGCCCUUACGACCAGGGCUACACACGUGCUACAAUGGUAGGUACAGAGGGCAGCUACACAGCGAUGUGAUGCGAAUCUCAAAAAGCCUAUCGUAGUCCAGAUUGGAGUCUGCAACUCGACUCCAUGAAGUAGGAAUCGCUAGUAAUCGCGGAUCAG